AACGACUCUCGGCAACGGAUAUCUCGGCUCUCGCAUCGAUGAAGAACGUAGCGAAAUGCGAUACUUGGUGUGAAUUGCAGAAUCCCGCGAACCAUCGAGUUUUUGAACGCAAGUUGCGCCCAAAGCCAUUCGGCCGAGGGCACGUCUGCCUGGGUGUCACGC
RNAcentral lists this ribosomal RNA (162 nucleotides) under Croton cascarilloides. RNAcentral's name for it is "5.8S ribosomal RNA". It matches the Rfam family "5.8S ribosomal RNA". Rfam says of the family: 5.8S ribosomal RNA (5.8S rRNA) is a component of the large subunit of the eukaryotic ribosome. It is transcribed by RNA polymerase I as part of the 45S precursor that also contains 18S and 28S rRNA. The record is from RNAcentral. Lineage: Eukaryota; Viridiplantae; Streptophyta; Magnoliopsida; Malpighiales; Euphorbiaceae.